Molecule: ribosomal RNA, 734 nt
Filed under: uncultured eukaryote
Lineage: Eukaryota
Description: SSU rRNA
Rfam family: Eukaryotic small subunit ribosomal RNA
Source: RNAcentral
GGUGUGCACUGUUUGCCCGGGCCAUUUUGUUGGUUCGUUCAUGGUUCUCUUAACCGAGUGCCAUGAGUGGCCAGGACUUUUACUUUGAAAAAAUUGGAGUGCUCAAAGCAGGCGCUACAUCCUGAACAUUAGUGCAUGGAAUAAUGGAAUAGGAUCUCGGUUCUAUUUCGUUGGCUUUCGGAGUCGAGGUAAUGAUUGAUAGGGACAGACGGGGGCAUCGUACUGCGACGUCAGAGGUGAAAAUCUUGGAUCGUCGCAAGACGAACUACUGCGAAAGCAUUUGCCAAGAAUGUUUUCAUUAAUCAAGAACGAAAGUUAGAGGUUCGAAGGCGAUCAGAUACCGCCCUAGUUCUAACCAUAAACGAUGUCAACCGGCGAUCCGCUAUCGUUAACUGAAUGACUAAUCGGGCACCCUCCGGGAAACCAGAGUGUGUGGAUUCCUGGGGAAGUAUGGUUGCAAAGCUGAAACUUAAAGGAAUUGACGGAAGGGCACCACCAGGAGUGGAGCCUGCGGCUUAAUUUGACUCAACACGGGAAAUCUCACCAGGCCCGGACACCGGAAGGAUUGACAGAUUGAGAGCUCUUUCUUGAUUCGGUGGGUGGUGGUGCAUGGCCGUUCUUAGUUGGUGGAGCGAUUUGUCUGGUUAAUUCCGAUAACGAACGAGACUCUGGCCUACUAAAUAGACGUUGGAUCCCUUUGUGGGUCCAUCGCAGCUUCUUAGAGGGACGGGCGG